RNAcentral lists this long non-coding RNA (2010 nucleotides) under Homo sapiens (human). RNAcentral describes it as "HSALNT0205241". The record is from RNAcentral. Lineage: Eukaryota; Metazoa; Chordata; Mammalia; Primates; Hominidae.
ACUGACCAGCCCAAGGAACAUCUCAUCAAUUUUAAAUCAGGACUGAAAAUAACAGAACUCAGCACCAUGAUCGGACCGGGACAAUCAGAUUAUUUCAUUCCUCAGCAAACGGAGAUCGAUCCGAAAAGUGGAAAUAUGAGCUCUUCUUUGGUGUUGGCAUAUGGACCCUGAGAGAAAGAACUUUAAUUUUUUCUCUUGGACUGCAAUAAAGUAUAGCUGCCUAAAAUACUUUUCCUGACACUUGGAGGUUUGUCCACAAUCGGUGAAAUAAAGGCAAGACGUAACACUGGAUGAAAAAAGAAAAUGAACAAAAAAGAAGCAAGUAUACUGAAAAUGGUGCACAUUGUAUCAUGGUGGCAUUGAAUCCAAGUAGAAUUAGCAGAGGUCCUUCCACCCUGUGAUCACCCCCACUGUCUUUCCCAAGCCCAGGAAUCCCUCUUCCCUUUUUUUCCAUUCCACUAAAUUAUUUUGAGUUACUGUUUUAUAAAAUUGCAUAUAAAAAGUGUUGAUUAAUACAGAAUAGUUAAUAAGGUGAUAUUAUGUUUAAGUAAUUAAUAAGAACAAUAAUAGCUAGUAUUUCGCAAUUGCUGUACAUUAGGGGCUUUUCCAGAGGUUUUAUAAAUGUUAAUUUAAUCUUCACAAUAAACUUAUCAAAAGUUCAAGGCAUAGAGAAGUUAAAUAAAUUGCCUGAGUUUUCAAGGGCAGAGCUGUGAUCUGCCCCCAGGUAUUCUGACCCCCAAACUGGCUCUCAACCAUGUUUACACGAUGAAAAGAAGAGGUGACUGUUGUAUCAGCUCUAAAGGCCUCACUUUUGGUGAAAUGGGACCUAAAUUUGAUUGCAUACUUGAUUACUUGCUGUCAAUACUGAAAUUGGCACUUCAUAAUUUUAAUACUAUUGAACUUUCACCAUAACCCUGUCCUAUAAAGUUGACUUGCAAAUGAAGAAACUCUAUCUCUUCAAUAUUAUAAAAUAUAUCCAAGAGUCACAACUAGUGAGAAAAGGACAGGAUCUAACUAACAAUGUGAGGCUGUGUCUUCACACCAAUUCAACAGAGUAUCUUGUAAAUGUUGAGAGGAGAGGUACUUUAGGUCAUGGGUGUCUUUCAAUAAGUGCUUUAGAAAACAGGUGACAACUGAUUGGGCCUUGAGGUAUGAAUGGAUUUAGCCAGGCAAUUAAAUAGGAAAGCAGAUACUCAAGACAGAUUAAAACAGCUUGAGAGAAGUGAAAUGAGCAAGUGUAAGACAAUUGAUACUGUCCAUGGAUUUUAGAAAGUGUGAAGUGGAGUGAUUGUGAUGAAGCUUGAAAGAUUGCCUGGGGCCAGGCUGUUGAAGGCUUGGUUUGCUUAGAUAAGUCAAAUGCAGUAGACAAUGGAUAGUCAUCACAGAUUUUUGUACAUGGGACUUCACAUACAUUAAUUGAAUAUCCAUCAUGUACAAAAUAUUGCUCAAGCAAUGUAGGGAUCAAGGGAAUAAAAGCUUAUUCUGAUAUUAUAGAGCAUAUAACAGCCAUGUAAAUAUGCAUGGUAUAGAGAAAUCAGUUCUAUGAUGGAUGUACCAGCAAAGUUGCAGAGCAUUAUAUAGAGUUGCUUUUGAUAUGAGCCCUAGAAUAAAUUGGGAUAGAGAGGGAGUUGGGGGGAAUUUGAGAUAGUUUUUCAAAGAAAAUAAAAUAUGGGGACAAAAACAAUAGAUAACAAUCAGUGAUAAGCUAUAUUUUGAGUUUUAAAAUUGUUUUUACAAUUACCCCUGUUUUGAGUAUAUAUCUUGUCAAAUCAUUCUAAUAAAUAUUUGCUGAUAACUGUGUGGAAUACAUAAAUAAAUGGUAGGUAGAAAUUUGGAAGAAUCACUACAUAUUUUCAGUUAUCAUUCUCUGUGUAAAUUCAUGCUUUAAAAAUAUGAGAAGAUAAAGUGCCUUGGAUAUUAUUUUAUUUUCUAUAUUUUGUCCCAUAUUGUAUUGUCUAAUUUUCAUUGAAACCACAUAACAUGCUUGAAUAGGCAUGUGGUAACUUCUCA